Molecule: long non-coding RNA, 2264 nt
Organism: Panicum virgatum (switchgrass)
Lineage: Eukaryota; Viridiplantae; Streptophyta; Magnoliopsida; Poales; Poaceae
Exons: 2
Source: RefSeq, a predicted model, not a curated record
UGUCACUUCUGUGCAUCUCCUAGGCCCAUAGUCUGCUGGCGCCCAACAGGAAAUCUUUUGUUGGUUAGCUAGUGUUCGUUGCUAGCUAUUUUCAGGUUAAAUCUUCGCAACUAUCCUGGGCCUUCUUGGCAUGGCCCAAUUGGUCCUUCCUAUCGUCCUCGAAACAAGGUGGGGAGAGAUGAUACAGGAACAGAAUAUAUGAACUACAGAGGUUCCAAAGGUGCGAAUUAAUAUAUGUAUGAACUCUAUCAUGAAUCAUGAACUAACUAAACAAGGUGAGAAAUAUGAGAACACCAAUACACUCCUUGUUUCAUGGUAGCACUAAUGCACACUGACCCGCUUUUGUUGCAUGUAGCAUCUACUUUUUGCUUGCCCGGGGGCGGGGGGAUGGUGAUCGAACAAACAUGCCUUUCUGCCAUGCACAAUUUUUUAGCUACAAUACAUGACCAUCUUUUACAUAUCUCUGCAUUGUUUCGGUUAGUUCCCCGUACGUGUAAAGGGGUAUCAAAAGGAUCUUCUUGCUCCUGCAAUACGGUUUGAGAAAUGCCAUACCCACUCCCUGCGCAUAGAUAUAUUUUGAGUGCCUCUUUCUUUUCAUGAAUCCUGGCCCUUUAAAUAAGGUUACCUUACCCUGGGGAAGAUAAAAAGACAAAGACUGACCAAAGGAAAUAGAAAGAUGCCCAUUGAUAUCUAAGCUCAUCAUACCUUACUCUUUACUAGUCUUUAAUCUCUUGCUUGCUUAGUUGGGCUGCCGUGAAAUCAAGAUACAGUUGAAAAGUGACUACCUUAUUUGACCGAACCUUUUUACACAACUACAUUUAAAAACACUGUCGAAGCAAAAGCUGUGCAGAACACAAAGCAGCUGUUCUCAUGAUUCUUGAAUCUCUUUGACUUUUUGCACCGUUAUCGAGAGAGCGUUAACCACUCACUUUGAGAUAGUGAUGCAGAAAAAUGACUAGCAUACCUGAAACCAGUUGCAAUGGUUGACAGUGGGCAAUGUUUUAUGGAGUUACUUCCAUUAAAAAAAAAGAAAUAUACUACUUUUACCGAGGUAACUUUCUCAGUGUGGCCAAGUUGCAGCAUUCAAAUCUCAAUUCACAGCAAGUUUUUCAGUUAAAGAAUCUGAUAAAACGUCUUUAUCCAAACCCAAAAUGCUUGCCAGCUUGGGACUAAGGUAUGAAAAAAGCAAGUGCAUUAACAUAUACUAUAAGAGACCAGAUUACCAUUUGUUUUCAGUAUGAUUAGCCGCUUUUUAGUACUGCUAGUGGUCUGCAUAUGUCAUCUAAGCUUGCAUCCUUUUACCUGUUCGGAUGAAUUUUUAAAGCUGGUGCAUGAAGACAAGAACAAGUGGCAACAUUAUUAUUUGUGAACACAUAGGUCCAUAUGAUCUGAUGAUCCUGAGCAGAUCCUACUAUUUAAUUUGUUUCUGUAUUAUUCAAAGAGGAAGGGCAGAGAGAGACAGUCAGACUAUAAUCACUCUGUUCGCUAGGCUGGAGCUGGAGGCUGGAGUGGUAUGAGAGAAAAAUAUUGUUGGCUGGCUGGUGGCUGGAAACUAAUGCUGGAGCGGUAUGAGAGGAAAACACUGUUGGGCUGAAGACUGCUGGAGCUGCCGAACAGAGUGAUUCACAUACCGCUCUGGUGAUUUAUUACUACUUUAGUGGUGAGAAAGAUGCAAGGAGGCACUGUCACCUCUACCUGAAAGCCUCCACAGACCACAGCUCUGGUGGCAACAACCUGUCUGCAUCAGGAGCAGGUGAGCUGAGAUGGAUGCUGCUGCUGGUUCCAAGUAGCUUUCUUGAUAUAGUGCGAUCAGUGAAGAAGACCCGUAUGCAGUAGCACUAGCUUGUGCACUGCAUGUACUCCAGCUGGGAGAUCCACAGUCCACAGUGCAGAGGUGGUGUGGUUUCUCCCCGAAAAUUUCGGCUGCGAGAGUCCAAGUGCCACCCACAUGGGGAUGGAGGGGGUGGGGUUUGGCUGGGCGUUCCCCUACUAUUCCCAUCUCCAUGUCCUGCUGCUGCGUGCUGCCCUGCCCCCAGUGACCUGACCUCGAGUCCGUGACGGACCCACAGGCAACGCUAUAGCUUGGAGCUAUAGCGUUGAUCGAUCUGGUAGCUGUCAUGCAGGGCAAUGGCAAUGGGUUGCCAUGGCUGCCUUCUCGGCCGAGACAGUAGUAGUGUCUGAGUGCAUCGUUGAUGAGUACAGUAGUAUGUAGCAAAAAUCAAAUCCGGUGAUUUUCAAGGGAAUCGAUGGAUGAAACCGUGCUA